ACCAGACUCCUACGGGAGGCAGCAGUGGGGGAUAUUGCACAAUGGGGGGAACCCUGAUGCAGCGACGCCGCGUGGGUGAAGAAGUAUUUCGGUAUGUAAAGCCCUAUCGGCAGGGAAGAAAUUGGACGGUACCUGACUAAGAAGCCCUGGCUAACUACGUGCCAGCAGCCGCGGUAAUACGUAGGGGGCAAGCGUUAUCCGGAUUUACUGGGUGUAAAGGGGGCGUAGACGGCGGAACAAGUCAGAAGUGAAAACCCGGGGCUCAACCCUGGGAGUGCUUUUGAAACUGUUUGGCUGGAGUGCAGGAGAGGUAAGCGGAAUUCCUAGUGUAGCGGUGAAAUGCGUAGAUAUUAGGAGGAACACCAGUGGCGAAGGCGGCUUACUGGACUGUAACUGACGUUGAGGCUCGAAAGCGUGGGGAGCAAACAGGAUUAGAUACCCGUGUA
Molecule: ribosomal RNA, 446 nt
Filed under: uncultured bacterium
Lineage: Bacteria
Description: bacterial SSU rRNA
Rfam family: Bacterial small subunit ribosomal RNA
Source: RNAcentral